CUCCUGCAAGCAGAACUCCACAAACUCUCCAGGACUCUCCACAAACUCUCUGACAAAAGGAAUCCAUAUUUGGUGACAAACACUACCACAAUCUUGGCCAAAGACUGCUGCCAUCUGUUCUUUUCAUCUCAGAAGUACCGACAUUGCCUCCCCUUCUAGACUAUAAACUCCCUGUGGGCAGGGAGUGUGUCUAUUAACUCUACUAUACUGUACUCUCCUAGGCACUUAGCAGGGUGCUCUGCGCACGUUAUAGGCUUAACCAUCUCAUCCACCUGGAAGAGCAUGAGAAUGGAGGCAUCUGUCUGCAGUGCGUGUCGGCUAGAUGGUACCCAGAGCCACAGGUGCAGUGGAAAGAUGCCAAGGAAAGAUAAUCCCGUCCCUGUCUGAGUCCCACCCCCAUGAUGGAGGUAGCCUGUUUAGUGUGGUAGCAUCUAUGAUUGUCCAAGAUGACUCUGUGAGUACUGUGUCCUGUUCCCCCUGGAACCCCCGCAUUGACCAAAAGAAGAAGUCGGCAAUUUCAAAGCAGAUGAGGAAAUUGAGGCCCAGAAAAGUGAAG
Ornithorhynchus anatinus (platypus) is the source of this 556-nucleotide long non-coding RNA. RefSeq lists it as uncharacterized. Lineage: Eukaryota; Metazoa; Chordata; Mammalia; Monotremata; Ornithorhynchidae. The record is from RefSeq and is a predicted model, not a curated record. The transcript is spliced from 3 exons.